This 1746-nucleotide ribosomal RNA is filed under the name bioreactor sludge metagenome. Its description in RNAcentral is "bacterial LSU rRNA". It matches the Rfam family "Archaeal large subunit ribosomal RNA", at positions 1185 to 2987 of the family's 2987-position model. The record is from RNAcentral.
GGUUAGCUUAGAAGCAGCUAUCCUUUAAAGAGUGCGUAACAGCUCACCAGUCGAGGUUUGGGGCCCCGAAAAUGGACGGGGCUCAAGUCGACUACCGAUACCACGGAGCACCGCAAGGUGAUCUAGUAGGAAGGCGUUGCGCUCGGGUAGAAGCAGGGCUGUAAAGUCCUGUGGACCGUGCGGAAACGAAAAUCCUGGCAAUAGUAACAGCAAAGUCAGGUGAGAAUCCUGACCACCGAAGGGGCCAGGUUUCCUCGGCAAUGUUCGUCAGCCGAGGGUUAGUCGGUCCUAAGACGUACCGUAAUUCGAGUACGCCGAAAGGGAAACAGGUUAAUAUUCCUGUACUAUCCAACAAUAAACUGACGUUUUUGGGCAGGCUGAGCAGCGUCGUCGCGCUGUCUAAGCACCGAAAUCCAUGGAGAGCCGUAAUGGCGAGAAGUGGAUGAAUGUGUAAUGGCGUAAGUCAGUUGCACCCGGGAACCCGUGAAAAGGGAGUUGGAUAUCCGUACCGAGAACUGACACAGGUGCCCCUAGCUGAAAAGGCUAAGGUGUGUCGGAGUAAACUGGCUAAGGGAAUUCGGCAAAUUGGCUCCGUAACUUCGGGAUAAGGAGUGCCUGCUGUGUAGACAGCAGGUCGCAGUGACCAGAGAGCUCUAACUGUCUAAUAUCAACAUAGGAAAUCGCAAACCUGUAAAGGCUAGUACGAUUUCUGAAUCCUGCCCAGUGCAGGUACCUGAAACCCCGGUUCAACGGGAAGAAGGGCCUGUAAACGGCGGGGGUAACUAUGACCCUCUUAAGGUAGCGUAGUACCUUGUCGCUUAAUUGGCGACUUGCAUGAAUGGAUCAAUGAGAGUUCUACUGUCCCUAGCCAGAGUCCGGUGAACUUUACAUUCUAGUGCACAGUCUAGAGACCUCUAGGGGGAAGUGAAGACCCCGUAGAGCUUUACUGCAGCCUGUCGUUGGGUUGUGGUUUUGGAUGUACAGUGUAGGUAGGAGACGUCGAAGCCGGUGCGCCAGCAUCGGUGGAGUCGCCAUUGGGACACUACCCUUCUGAAAUUACGAUCCUAACUCCAACGGAGGACAUCGAUAGGUGGGCAGUUUGCCUGGGGCGGGACGCCCUUGAAAAGAUAUCAAGGGCGCACAAAGGUUGACUCAAGUGGGUCGGAAACCUACUGAAGAGUGUAAGAGCAUAAGUCAGCCUGACGUUAUUCAGCACAGUAGUGGAUGACGAGACGAAAGUCGGUUCUAGCGAACUUUUGUGAUUCCCGCUUGGUGCGGGCCAAAAAUGACAGAAAAGUUACCUCGGGGAUAAUUGAGUUGUUGCCGGCAAGAGCACAUAUCGACCCGGCAGCUUGCUACUUCGAUGUCGGUUCUUUCCAUCCUGGCCGUGCAGCAGCGGCCAAGGGUGAGGUUGUUCGCCUAUUAAAGGAGAUCGUGAGCUGGGUUUAGACCGUCGUGAGACAGGUCGGUUACUAUCUACUAGAGGUGUGUGCAGUCUGAGGGUAAGUUGCUUUUAGUACGAGAGGAACCGAGCAACGGCGCCACUGGUCGAUCGGUUGUCUGACAAGGCAUUGCCGAGCAGCUACGCGCUAAGGAAUAAGAGCUGAAAGCAUCUAAGCUCGAAAUCUAACCUAAAAAGAGACUGCUUUAAGAGUUCCGGUAAAAGACCGGUUUGAUAGGGUCGGGAUGUAAGCAUCAAGGCAACGAGAUGUUCAGUCCGCGGCUACUAACCACUCGUGCCUAGUC